CCUACGGGGGGCAGCAGUGGGGGAUAUUGCACAAUGGGGGGAACCCUGAUGCAGCGACGCCGCGUGGGUGAAGAAGCGCCUCGGCGCGUAAAGCCCUGUCAGCAGGGAAGACAAUGACGGUACCUGAAGAAGAAGCCCCGGCUAACUACGUGACAGCAACCGCGGUAAUACGUAGGGGGCAAGAGUUAUCCAGAUUUACUGGGUGGAAAGGGGGCCCAGACGGCGUUGCAAGCAAGGAGUGAAAGCCCGGGGCCCAAACCCGGGAAUGCUGUUGGAACUGCGUGGCUGGAGUGCAGGAGGGGCAGGCGGAAUUCCUGGUGUAGCGGUGAAAUGCGUAGAGAUCAGGAGGAACACCGGUGGCGAAGGCGGCCUGCUGGACUGCAACUGACGUUGAGGCCCGAAAGCGUGGGGAGCAAACAGGAUUAGAUACCCGUGUAGUC
Molecule: ribosomal RNA, 440 nt
Filed under: uncultured bacterium
Lineage: Bacteria
Description: partial 16S ribosomal RNA
Rfam family: Bacterial small subunit ribosomal RNA
Source: RNAcentral